This is a long non-coding RNA of Fukomys damarensis (Damara mole-rat), 962 nucleotides long. RefSeq lists it as uncharacterized. The transcript is spliced from 6 exons. The record is from RefSeq and is a predicted model, not a curated record. NCBI's taxonomy places the organism in Eukaryota, Metazoa, Chordata, Mammalia, Rodentia, Bathyergidae.
UCCUCUGCCCCUUCCCCGCCUGUGAGCCGGAGCCAUCCGGGGACAUCCGAGCCAUCUGAGGCAGCAGGACAUCCUUGCCCUUUCCUGGGCUUCUCUGGCACCUUGCCCACCGCUCCCGUUCCUGGUUUCCUUCACUUGAGCAUCUGAUGGCACUCGAUGCGUCCUCUGGCUCGAGGCUUGUCCUUCUGGGUGGUGGCCUAGCUUCCGCCCGUCCAUCUGUUCUCAUUCUGGGCCAGGGGCAGCACCGGAUCUAGACUGGAUCGUACUGAAGUCCGGGAGCCAAGAUCCCCAGGACAUGGAUCUAACCAGGAAACGCCUGGGAUAAAAAUAAGGAUAGCCGACCUGCGCGGGUGUUCACCUGAUUCUCACCCCAAGCCGCCAAAGCCCUCCUGUCCUCUGUCCCCUGGCCUGGAGCAGCCGAGGCCUUGAUCAAGGCCGUGGCUGAGGACCCAGCCUCCAGUGCAGUUCAUCGAUAUGCAGCCUAGGGUCCUGCCUGGAAUUACCUGGGUGCUCUGAGGAGGAGUCAGACGCCCUGCUUCACAGGGAGAGAAGUCGCCUGUGUGUAAGACUCCUAACUGGGGCCUGGUGGUCUGGUCCCACUGACACCCAGCCGGAAAUGUUGGAGCCCCAGUGGGAUUUCUGAGGAAAGAAGUGGUGCUGGCCCAAAACACACUUGGGAGCCUGGGGAAGCUCCAGUGAUACACAGCCCAGAGGGUGGGAGAAUUGGGAUCAAACUGCCAAGCGAGAGAGCUGGUCCUGGGGAUCCAGUUGGGUUGUUUCUACCUUGGGUUAUGGGAAGAGUGCUGCCGUGAACACUGGAACUGCCAACUGUUUUCUUCAGUGGCAACACUGUUUUCUAUUCCCAACGGGAACAUGUGAGGACCAUAACACCUCCACAUCCUUGGCAACACUUGUUACUGGCCAUUAAAUAUAUCUCUGUCUCCUACUGGGUGUGAAAUGGU